Long non-coding RNA from Solenopsis invicta (red fire ant), 1453 nucleotides. RefSeq lists it as uncharacterized. The transcript has 4 exons. The record is from RefSeq and is a predicted model, not a curated record. NCBI's taxonomy places the organism in Eukaryota, Metazoa, Arthropoda, Insecta, Hymenoptera, Formicidae.
CGUUUAUAAAAUUUGUUAUAAAAAUAUUAAAAAUCUUAAUAAAAUAUAACUUAAUUCUUGAAAUUAAUUUAAAUAAUCGUUAAAACAUAAAGGUAAUAGCCAUCUAGUGCCAAUAAUCGAACUAAAGUAUGUGUAGAAUCAGAGAGGAACCUAACCUAACCUAACCUAACCUGCUCGCGAUCUGUUCCGAGCUUUGGCGACACGUGUCCCAAGUGAGACAUAAAUUUUAAAAAAUCUGUUCCAAGCAUAUAUUUAAAAUUCCUAUAAAAAAAGAUAAUGCCAAUAUCAAAGUGCAGACGACAUCGAAGUCAUCGGACUUGAGAGCAAAUUAUCAUAGCCAUUCUGACGUGUUUAUUUGUUGCGCCUGUUCAGUGGUGAAAUCUGUUAUUUGACUCAUAAAAAUGUUAAAAAAGAGGAUUUUAUUGUUUGCGCAAAAAAGCACACAGGAUAAUUAGAUUAUUUUACAUACAUUUCCGAAGGAUUCGUAUAUACGUCAAAAAUGGAUUGAGGCUUGUGGAUUGCAUAAUAAAGAUGUAUCUCGUUUUUAUAUUUGCUUAAAUCACUUUGAAUUAUCUGAGAAUUUACUUGCAUUGAAGAGAUUACCUUUUGAGGCUAUAUCCACUGCAGAAAAAGCUGUACCAAAUCAUCCAGUUAAAUCAUCAAAUAUGUCAACAAAUAUUACAAAUGUAUUAAAAUCAAAGGGAAUGUUGCAUCUCCAACUGUAUUAUACAUAAUGGAUGGAAUAUUAUUCAGUCAAUAUUGAAAGUUGCGAUUCCUGAUCAUUCAUUGCCAAUGAUAGAAAAUACUUAUGUGUCUAAAACAUCUGAAGUAAAUGUUAUAUCUCCAACAGUACCUGAUGUAAUAGACUGAUAAUGCUGACAUAAUGGAAUGUGAUAACACUUCAGCCAAUAUCAAAAGUUUCAAUUUUUGAUCAUUCAUAUUGUGAAGAGAACGUUUCUUCUCAGGAAAACGGUUGUUUGCACAGUCUCAAUGUAUUUCGGAAAUUAAUAUUAGUGAUGCUCACCAAAAAAGUGCAGGAAGAGUAAUUAAUUUUAUUAAAGAAGAGGAUCAAAAGAAACAGUUGAAUUAGGUGUUUGAAUGAUUACAACAAAAGACUUCUAAAACAAUUUGUUACAUCGCAGGAAUUAGUAUCUCAUUUAAAAGAAACAAUUUCUGAAGAUGUAGAUAAUAUACUGAUCAAUAUGAUAAAAGCCUAAUAGAUAUCUUUUCUUAGAUAUAUAAUAAAAGGAAUUAUCAAAAAUUUUGAAGUAAUUACUAGUAAUAUUUUUCCUGAUACAAAAAUAAAAAUAAUUUCGGAGCUCCUCUUUACAUUACACUCAUCUUCUGUCAUUAGAACUAGUACUUUGUACGUAAUUCUCCUUUUAUUAUAUGUUGAAACCUUGUAUGUUUAUAUUUGUUGAUUUGAAGUAUUAAAUUAUUUUAAUAUAUUUAA